UGGGGAAUCUUGGACAAUGGGCGCAAGCCUGAUCCAGCCAUGCCGCGUGAGUGACGAAGGUCUUCGGAUUGUAAAGCUCUUUUGGCGGGGACGAUAAUGACGGUACCCGCAGAAUAAGCCCCGGCUAACUUCGUGCCAGCAGCCGCGGUAAUACGAAGGGGGCUAGCGUUGUUCGGAAUUACUGGGCGUAAAGCGCACGUAGGCGGAUCUAUAAGUCAGGGGUGAAAUCCCGGGGCUCAACCUCGGAACUGCCUUUGAUACUGUAGAUCUCGAGUCCGGAAGAGGUGAGUGGAAUUCCUAGUGUAGAGGUGAAAUUCGUAGAUAUUAGGAAGAACACCAGUGGCGAAGGCGGCUCACUGGUCCGGUACUGACGCUGAGGUGCGAAAGCGUGGGGAGCAAACAGGAUUAGAUACCCCCGUAGUCCCUGAGCGGGCUGGCAAGGCGCAU
Molecule: ribosomal RNA, 447 nt
Filed under: uncultured bacterium
Lineage: Bacteria
Description: bacterial SSU rRNA
Rfam family: Bacterial small subunit ribosomal RNA
Source: RNAcentral